This 492-nucleotide ribosomal RNA is filed under the name uncultured bacterium. Its description in RNAcentral is "partial 16S ribosomal RNA". It matches the Rfam family "Bacterial small subunit ribosomal RNA", at positions 29 to 507 of the family's 1533-position model. The record is from RNAcentral.
AGUGAACGCUGGCGGUAGGCCUAACACAUGCAAGUCGAACGGCAGCACAGUAAGAGCUUGCUCUUACGGGUGGCGAGUGGCGGACGGGUGAGGAAUACAUCGGAAUCUACUUUUUCGUGGGGGAUAACGUAGGGAAACUUACGCUAAUACCGCAUACGACCUACGGGUAAAAGCAGGGGAUCUUCGGACCUUGCGCGAUUGAAUGAGCCGAUGUCGGAUUAGCUAGUUGGCGGGGUAAAGGCCCACCAAGGCGACGAUCCGUAGCUGGUCUGAGAGGUUGAUCAGCCACACUGGAACUGAGACACGGUCCAGACUCCUACGGGAGGCAGCAGUGGGGAAUAUUGGACAAUGGGCGCAAGCCUGAUCCAGCCAUACCGCGUGGGUGGAGAAGGCCUUCGGGUUGUAAAGCCCUUUUGUUGGGAAAGAAAAGCAGCAGGUUAAUACCCCGCUGUUCUGACGGUACCCAAAGAAUAAGCACCGGCUAACUUCGUG